Long non-coding RNA from Manis pentadactyla (Chinese pangolin), 910 nucleotides. RefSeq lists it as uncharacterized. NCBI's taxonomy places the organism in Eukaryota, Metazoa, Chordata, Mammalia, Pholidota, Manidae. The record is from RefSeq and is a predicted model, not a curated record. The transcript is spliced from 3 exons.
AAACUGUGCUUAGAAAACACCGAGACAGCGCUCAGAAUAUGCAUCUUCCCUUUUUCAUGCUCCGCUUCUUUCUGAGAAUUUCUCUGGAUGCCUGAGUUCCCUCUCCGGAGGCAGUUUCACCAGCUGUCCAUUUCACCCAUCAAGGCGUUUGCAAAAAGUCUGGCCAAUUCUUCUGCAGAGCGCGGGGCGGGACUGGCUCUAGCUGAAGCCCAAUAAAAGGCACGUUCUUUGCAGAGCGUCCCCGCACGUUCGCCAUUGGGUAAUUCAAGGUUUUCAGCCCCUCCUACCCCAGUGGUACGGCCCUGGGUGGGAGCCCGCGGUUCGCGAGGUGCCUGGCGGGUGUUCCCAGGAUGGUCAGAGCUCCAGGUCAUGACGGGGUGAAGGUUGUCCCAGGAAAAGCAAGUGCAGAGACAUCAAGAUUAUGGAAAAUUUCAAACAUACCUAAAGAAGAGGGAGGGAAAGAUACAACUAACUCCCAUAUGCCUGUCCCCCAUGUUCAGUGUGGCCACUGUUCUUUCAUUAUCCCAACACCCCUUCUUGAGCCCCUUAAGUUAUUUUGAAGCAAAUUCCCCACAUUUCAUCCCAAAACACUCAGUCUGUGUCUCUAAUAAGAGGACUCUCUCUUUUAAACAAUAUCAUUAUCACACCAUUCAAAAUUUAGAGUCAUUUUUUAAUGUUACCACAUUUCCUCCGUGGUCCCAUAUAUAUCAUUUCUUUUUUUCCUUUCCAAGCACCUUUUGUUUUAUUUCAAACAUACAAAAAAGACUACAGAGUAAAAGAAUUGUUUUCUGCAUUAAUGAUAGAAUUACUGUUAUCCAUUCAUGGCCAACGUUGUUUCAAUUCCCCCAUCCUCUCCUCCCAGGUAAUUUUGAAGCUACAUGCCAGACAUCAUAAAAAUAAAACUCUUUUU